UACGGUUACCUUGUUACGACUUAGUCCCCAUCACGGGUUUCAUCUUCGGCGCCUGCCUUUCGGCUCCGACGACUUCGGAUGCCCCCCGCUUUGGUGGCUUGACGGGCGGUGUGUACAAGGCUCAGGAACACAUUCACCGCCGCAGUGCUGAUCGGCGAUUACUAGCGAUUCCGGCUUCAUGCGGGCGGGUUGCAGCCCGCAAUCCGAACUGGGGGACGGUUUUUGCGAUUGGCGCGGCCUUGCGGCCUGGCGACGCUCUGUCCGCCCCAUUGUAGCACGUGUGCAGCCCUGGGCAUGAGGGCCAUGAUGACUUGACGUCGUCCCCGCCUUCCUCCGGCUUAACGCCGGCGGUCUGAUCAGAGUCCCCGCCAUGACGCGCUGGCAACUGAUCACAGGGGUUUCGCUCGUUACGGGACUUAACCCAACACCUCACGGCACGAGCUGACGACAGCCAUGCAGCACCUGUGCACGUUCCACCUUGCGGCGUCACCGACGUUUCCGCCGGCUAAUCCGUGCAUGUCAAGCCCAGGAUAAGGUUCUUCGCGUAGCCUCGAAUUAAGCCACAUGCUCCACCGCUUGUGUGAGCCCCCGUCAAUUCCUUUGAGUUUCAGCCUUGCGACCAUACCCCCCAGGCGGGGCACUUCACGGUUUCCCUGCGGCAGGGAGCCCAUCGGCGAGCCCCCUACCCAGUGCCCAUCGUUUACAGCUAGGACUACCGGGGGUAUCUAAUCCCGGUUCGCUCCCCUAGCUUUUCGCGUCUCAGCCGUCAGUAGACGUCCAGGACCUCGCCUUUUCGCCACGGGGCGUUUCCUUCCCGAUCUCAACGGCAUUUUCACCCGCUCCACCGGGAAGUUUCCAGGUCCCCCCUACGUCCCUCCCAGACGGGGUCGUUUCGGUGCCAGUUCCCCGGUUGAGCCGGGGGCUUUCAACAACCGACGUUCCCAUCCGCCUACACGCGCUUUAAGACCAGUGAUUCCGAAUAACGUUCGCACGGUUCGUCUUACCGCGGCUGCUGGCACGAACUUAGCCCGUGCUUCCUCCAGGGAUCGGUCAAGCCGGUUACCCGACCUUCUUCCCCCUCGACAGGAGUUUACAACACGAAGGCCUUCAUCCUCCACGCGGCGUCGCUCGGUCAGGCUUGCGCCCAUUGCCGAAGAUUCUCGACUGCAGCCUCCCGUAGGAGUCUGGGCAGUGUCUCAGUCCCAGUGUGCCGGGCCACGCUCGCACGCCCGGUAGGCAUCAUAGGCUUGGUGGGCCAUUACCCCGCCAACGACCUAAUACCACGACGGCUCGUCCCACGGCGCCAGGACUUUGGUCCGAUUCGGAUGCCCGAUCCGGACGUCGCUGGGGAUUACCCGCAGUUUCCCGCGGCUAUACCCAACCAUGGGGUUGAUUACCGUCGCCUUACUCACCCUUCCGCCACUGGCCUUGCGGCCCGUUCGACUUGCAUGCCUAAUCCACGCCGCCAACGUUCAUUCUGAGCCAUGAUCAAACUCU
This 1497-nucleotide ribosomal RNA is filed under the name uncultured bacterium. RNAcentral describes it as "partial 16S ribosomal RNA". The record is from RNAcentral.